This 372-nucleotide ribosomal RNA is filed under the name uncultured organism. RNAcentral describes it as "partial 16S ribosomal RNA". It matches the Rfam family "Bacterial small subunit ribosomal RNA", at positions 527 to 896 of the family's 1533-position model. The record is from RNAcentral.
AGAGGGUGCAAGCGUUAAUCGGACUUACUGGGCGUAAAGGGCAAGUAGGUGGAUGCUUAAGUCGGAUGUGAAAUGUUUAGGCUUAACCUAGAUUGGUCAUUCGAUACUGAGUGUCUAGAGUACGGUAGAGGGUAGUGAAAUUUCCGGUGUAGCGGUGAAAUGCGUAGAUAUCGGAAGGAACACCAGUGGCGAAGGCGGCUACCUGGACUGAUACUGACACUGAAUUGCGAAAGCGUGGGGAGCGAACAGGGAUUAGAUACCCUGGUAGUCCACGCUGUAAACGAUGACAACUAACUGUUGGGGCUGAAGAGGGCCCUUAGUGGUGCAGCAAACGCGCUAAGUUGUCCGCCUGGGAUUACGGCCGCAAGGUUA